RNAcentral lists this microRNA precursor (84 nucleotides) under Choloepus hoffmanni (Hoffmann's two-fingered sloth). RNAcentral's name for it is "miRNA (ENSCHOG00000014627.1)". Lineage: Eukaryota; Metazoa; Chordata; Mammalia; Pilosa; Megalonychidae. The record is from RNAcentral.
UAUGUGCAUAUGUAUGUGUGUAUGUGCACGUGUGUACAGAUGUAUGUAUUUGUGUAUGUGUGUACGUAUGGGUGCAUGCAUGCA